UACGUAGGUGGCAAGCGUUGUCCGGAUUUACUGGGCGUAAAGAGCGCGCAGGCGGUCGUUCAAGUCGCGUGUGAAAGCCCUCAGCUCAACUGAGGAAGUGCGCCCGAAACUGCAGAGCUUGAGUACCGGAGAGGAUGGCGGAAUUCCCCAAGUAGAGGUGAAAUUCGUAGAUAUGGGGAGGAACACCGGUGGCGAAGGCGGCCAUCUGGACGGAUACUGACGCUGAGACGCGAAAGCGUGGGUAGCAAACAGG
This 253-nucleotide ribosomal RNA is filed under the name uncultured bacterium. Its description in RNAcentral is "partial 16S ribosomal RNA". It matches the Rfam family "Bacterial small subunit ribosomal RNA", at positions 524 to 776 of the family's 1533-position model. The record is from RNAcentral.